UACAAAAAAAACAAGCGUUGUUCACAAUUACUGGACGUAAAGAGCGCGUAGGCGGUUUGCUAAGUUGAAUGUGAAAACUCUGGGCUUAACCCAGAGCCUGCAUUCAAUACUGGCAGGCUGGAGUUCUGGAGGGGAUAGCGGAAUUCCUGGUGUAGCGGUGAAAUGCGUAGAUAUCAGGAGGAACACCGGUGGCGAAGGCGGCUAUCUGGACAGAAACUGACGCUGAGGCGCGAAAGCUAGGGGAGCAAACAGG
RNAcentral lists this ribosomal RNA (253 nucleotides) under uncultured bacterium. RNAcentral describes it as "partial 16S ribosomal RNA". It matches the Rfam family "Bacterial small subunit ribosomal RNA", at positions 524 to 776 of the family's 1533-position model. The record is from RNAcentral.